AUGUACGUCCCCGGCCAGCCGCCGGAGUCCCUCUGUCUGCUAUGUGUGAUAGCUUUACUCGCUAUCUGUUCUAUUUGCAGGAGGAGGCCAAGGGCCGGGAAGCGGUGGCACCGGCGACUGGCAAACCUCAUCGGCUACUGCUGCGACGGGGUCGAGCACCUGCUCUUCGCUGAGUUCAUGCCCAACGACACCCUCGCCAAGCACCUCUUCCACUAUUCCACUAUGUCACCGGCCUGCUCUCCCUCCCCUGCACCAGGCUCUUCGACCGGCUCCUUCGCACCGCCUUCCACUUCAAAGUUCAAACAGCUCAAAGACAAGAAAUUCAAGCGUUCUGUGCCUCUUUGA
RNAcentral lists this ribosomal RNA (345 nucleotides) under Triticum aestivum (bread wheat). RNAcentral describes it as "partial small subunit ribosomal RNA". The record is from RNAcentral. Lineage: Eukaryota; Viridiplantae; Streptophyta; Magnoliopsida; Poales; Poaceae.